RNAcentral lists this ribosomal RNA (442 nucleotides) under uncultured bacterium. RNAcentral describes it as "partial 16S ribosomal RNA". It matches the Rfam family "Bacterial small subunit ribosomal RNA", at positions 339 to 795 of the family's 1533-position model. The record is from RNAcentral.
CUACAGGAUGCACCAGUGGGGAAUAUUGGGCAAUGGGCGCAAGCCUGACCCAGCAACGCCGCGUGAGGGAAGAAGGUUUUCGGAUUGUAAACCUCUGUCCUUGGGGACGAAAAAAAUGACGGUACCCAAGGAGGAAGCUCCGGCUAACUACGUGCCAGCAGCCGCGGUAAUACGUAGGGAGCGAGCGUUGUCCGGAAUUACUGGGCGUAAAGGGUGCGUAGGCGGCGUAUUAAGUCAGGUGUGAAAUAUUCGGGCUCAACCCGAAGGGUGCAUUUGAAACUGGUAUGCUUGAGUGUGAGAGAGGAAAGUGGAAUUCCUAGUGUAGCGGUGAAAUGCGUAGAUAUUAGGAGGAACACCAGUGGCGAAGGCGACUUUCUGGCUCAUAACUGACGCUGAGGCACGAAAGCGUGGGUAGCAAACAGGAUUAGAUACCCCCGUAGUC